AUUAAAGAAAGCACAGAAGGGCCAAGAUGAGAAAGAGUGUCAUGCUUAGGUUGCUGAAUGCCUGAAGAAGUGCCAUAAAAUCAAUGGAAAGAUAUUUCCAAAUGAUGUGCCUGCUAUCUCUAAAGAAACAACAGAAACAUGUGGUGCUCUUUGGGACAUCUUUCGGAGGGAGGAUACUGAAAAGUUAGAAGCAUAUCUACGAAAACAUUCUAAAGAAUUUAGAUAUCUCAUGAUUAAUUUUAUGUGUUGCAUCAAACCGAAGGCUACCAUCAUGUAACCAUGGAUCUUUCAAUUGCUUGUAUUGUUUAGCUACAGGGAGGCAAAACAAGCAUUUGCAUUACUUAAAUAGCAAUGUUAGCUUGCCUUCAACUUCACUGACCUACUUAAAUAUCACAAUUGAACAUUAAACUAACAUGAAUUACAAUCUAGUAAAGGUACUUCCUCCUGCAUGGCUGCAUUACAUAUAUAAGGGCUGGGCAAGUAGCUGCUCUUGCAAUGACAAUGUAACAUGAUUAGAGAGACAUGGAACCAAAAAAGAAAGAAAGAAAGAAUUAACCCAAAACAGAAAACAACAGACCUGGUUACAAGGGAAAAUGUCAGCAAUGAGCUUCUUGUACCUCUUGACAGGUUGUCUUGACCUUGCUCUCAAGGAAGGGCAAAAGAAACAAAGAUUGCCACAAGCAGGCAGAACUUGACGGGAAACAAAUAAAGCGCAGCAAAGGAAGAGGUUGUCCAUCCAAUUCAUGACCAAUGUUUUUAUUUGACUUUGGAGCACAAGAAGAAGCUGAAGGAAGAAUUUGGUGUAGAACCUUGGACGUUUGAGCAGAAACUUGAGAGGCAGUAUUUAUUCCUGCUGGAUGUCCACACUAAGUUAGGAAUCUCAAGUCAUGCACUAAAGUUGCUUCAGAUUUUGUGUCUCCUGAGAAUAUUCAUAUGUGCUUGCGAUUAAAGGAUGAAUUUCGUCGUCUUCCUAGGAAUCACAAGGCGAGGGAAGAUAAGCUAGAGAUAAAGAAGAUGAUCGUGCAUGCUGUAGAUCAAAUAGUCAAGGAAUUAGAAGCAUUGGUGGAGUGUUCUUGAGACUGGCCUAUAUGCUGCUUCCAUAUCUGCUAUGAUUUUUUUAACCUCAUAGUUCAGAUUUUUAUUCAGAUAGAAAAUUUUGUGUUGGGUAAUUUUUCAUUGGAGGCUUAAUUUGAUUUUUUUUCCUUGUUAUUCAAUCAUGUAUAUGUAUACAUACACAAAUAAAUAAUUUUCUCUCCAUCUUCCUGCAUUUGUAUUGCCC
Long non-coding RNA from Gastrolobium bilobum, 1279 nucleotides. RefSeq lists it as uncharacterized. The transcript has 5 exons. The record is from RefSeq and is a predicted model, not a curated record. NCBI's taxonomy places the organism in Eukaryota, Viridiplantae, Streptophyta, Magnoliopsida, Fabales, Fabaceae.